CAGCUCUCCGAGUGGUAGGGAUGAUUAUUGGGCUUAAAGCGUCCGUAGCUUGCUUAGCAAGUCUCCUGUUAAAUUCAGCGACCUAAUCGUUGAGCCGCGGGAGAUACUACUAGGCUAGGAGGCGGGAGAGGUCGACGGUACUUCUGGGGUAGGGGUGAAAUCCUAUAAUCCCAGGAGGACCACCAGUGGCGAAGGCUGUCGACUAGAACGCGCUCGACGGUGAGGGACGAAAGCUGGGGGAGCGAACCGGAUUAGAUACCCGAGUAGUCC
This 270-nucleotide ribosomal RNA is filed under the name uncultured archaeon. RNAcentral's name for it is "partial 16S ribosomal RNA". It matches the Rfam family "Archaeal small subunit ribosomal RNA", at positions 477 to 747 of the family's 1478-position model. The record is from RNAcentral.